Molecule: transfer RNA, 78 nt
Filed under: Candidatus Cloacimonadota bacterium
Lineage: Bacteria; Pseudomonadati; Candidatus Cloacimonadota
Description: tRNA-Pro
Rfam family: tRNA
About the family: Transfer RNA (tRNA) molecules are approximately 80 nucleotides in length. Their secondary structure includes four short double-helical elements and three loops (D, anti-codon, and T loops).
Source: RNAcentral
CGGGAUGUAGCGCAGCACGGUUAGCGCGCUUCGUUCGGGACGAAGAGGCCGCCGGUUCAAAUCCGGCCAUCCCGACCA